GACGAACGCUGGCGGCGUGCUUAACACAUGCAAGUCGAACGGUGAAGGGACCAGCUUGCUGGUUCUGGCUGAGUGGCGAACGGGUGAGUAACACGUGAGUAACCUGCCCCCUUCUUCUGGAUAACCGCAUGAAAGUGUGGCUAAUACGGGAUAUUCUGGGUCUGUCGCAUGGCGGGCCCGGGAAAGAUAUUGCUUCGGUGGGGGAUGGGCUCGCGGCCUAUCAGCUUGUUGGUGGGGUGAUGGCCUACCCAGGCGGUGACGGGUAGCCGGCCUGAGAGGGGGGACGGUCACACUGGGACUGAGACACGGCCCAGACUCCUACGGGAGGCAGCAGUGGGGAAGAUUGCACAAUGGGCGCAAGCCUGAUGCAGCGACGCCGCGUGAGGGAGGGAGGCCUUCGGGUUGUAAACCUCUUUCGCCAGUGAAGCAGGCCUGCUCCGUGUGGGUGGGUUGACGGUAGCUGGAUAAGAAGCGCCGGCUAACUACGUG
RNAcentral lists this ribosomal RNA (489 nucleotides) under uncultured bacterium. RNAcentral's name for it is "partial 16S ribosomal RNA". It matches the Rfam family "Bacterial small subunit ribosomal RNA", at positions 28 to 507 of the family's 1533-position model. The record is from RNAcentral.